Molecule: transfer RNA, 73 nt
Filed under: Ovis aries (sheep)
Lineage: Eukaryota; Metazoa; Chordata; Mammalia; Artiodactyla; Bovidae
Description: tRNA-Arg (TCT) (tRNA-Arg-TCT-14-1)
Rfam family: tRNA
About the family: Transfer RNA (tRNA) molecules are approximately 80 nucleotides in length. Their secondary structure includes four short double-helical elements and three loops (D, anti-codon, and T loops).
Source: Rfam by way of RNAcentral
UCCCUGGAGGUCCAGUGGUUAGGACUCAGCACUUCUACUGCUGGGGACCAAGGUUCAAUCCCUGGUCGGGGAA